Haliotis rubra (blacklip abalone) is the source of this 127-nucleotide long non-coding RNA. RefSeq lists it as uncharacterized. The transcript has 3 exons. NCBI's taxonomy places the organism in Eukaryota, Metazoa, Mollusca, Gastropoda, Lepetellida, Haliotidae. The record is from RefSeq and is a predicted model, not a curated record.
AUAAGACCUUGAUGGCUCCCGGAAGGCUGAAAGUCAUCACACUGUCAGCAGGCAGUUUCUAUCAAUUUAUGUUGGAGAGUAAUAAACAGAAUACUAAACUCACUUCCGUGAAAUACCAUUUUUAUUA